Molecule: ribosomal RNA, 117 nt
Organism: Chelonoidis abingdonii (Abingdon island giant tortoise)
Lineage: Eukaryota; Metazoa; Chordata; Testudines; Testudinidae
Source: Ensembl
UUAGGCAGCUAUGCCACCUUUGGCUGCAAUUUUAAAAGAUCUCAUAAACUAAUCUGGGUCAGGCCUGGUCAGUACUUGGAUGGGAGACCUCCAAGAUACUUCUAGACACUGCUGGGA